UACGUAGGGUGCGAGCGUUGUCCGGAAUUAUUGGGCGUAAAGAGCUUGUAGGCGGUUUGUCGCGUCUGCUGUGAAAAUCCGGGGCUCAACCCCGGACUUGCAGUGGGUACGGGCAGACUAGAGUGUGGUAGGGGAGACUGGAAUUCCUGGUGUAGCGGUGAAAAUGCGCAGGAUAUCAGGAGGAACACCGAUGGCGAAGGCAGGUCUCUGGGCCACUACUGACGCUGAGAAGCGAAAGCAUGGGGAGCGAACAGG
RNAcentral lists this ribosomal RNA (255 nucleotides) under uncultured bacterium. RNAcentral describes it as "partial 16S ribosomal RNA". It matches the Rfam family "Bacterial small subunit ribosomal RNA", at positions 524 to 776 of the family's 1533-position model. The record is from RNAcentral.